Molecule: ribosomal RNA, 234 nt
Filed under: uncultured bacterium
Lineage: Bacteria
Description: partial 16S ribosomal RNA
Rfam family: Bacterial small subunit ribosomal RNA
Source: RNAcentral
CGGGACGGGUGAGUAAUGUCUGGGAAACUGCCUGAUGGAGGGGGAUAACUACUGGAAACGGUAGCUAAUACCGCAUAGCGUCGCAAGACCAAAGAGGGGGACCGUUCGGGCCUCUUGCCAUCGGAUGUGCCCAGGUGGGAUUAGCUAGUAGGUGGGGUAACGGCUCACCUAGGCGACGAUCCCUAGCUGGUCUGAGAGGAUGACCAGCCACACUGGAACUGAGACACGGUCCAG